Plectropomus leopardus (leopard coralgrouper) is the source of this 2043-nucleotide long non-coding RNA. RefSeq lists it as uncharacterized. The record is from RefSeq and is a predicted model, not a curated record. Lineage: Eukaryota; Metazoa; Chordata; Actinopteri; Perciformes; Serranidae.
AAAAACAAAAAUAGCAAUUCAUGAUUGGCUGUUUGUGAAAAGACUGAGUGUAUAAAUAAUAAACAGAGAAAGAAAAUUACUCAGAGAUCUCCUCUCUUGGACAGAGCCCUCACAUCAGCACAGACCAAUGAACACUGAAUUCACGCAUCAACAUCAGCAACGCUGCCUGAACCGCCACAGACUCGUCAAGAAUACUUCUCUUUCCAUCUGAAAAUCAUUGUUCACUGAAUUGGAAGCAGCUGCAGAGCCAGAAGAUUCGCCAUCCCGCAGAGAAAUCAAGAGCAUCACAACACCAAGAAAAAUACAAGAUGGCUGCUGGUGGUAUUGCUCGUCUUUUUAAAUACCCUAAAUGUGUGAAGAAACGUGACAGGGCUGCAUUCAGAGAAAAAACACUGCGUGUCAAUGAAAACAUUCUGUUUAAACAUACAAAUGCUGGCAAUGUAGAACUCAUGUUCUACAGGACACAUGUCAGAGAAUGGCUGCGUGUAAUAAGAGAGCAAUACCCUGAAUUUCAGGAAACUCAGCAGGAUGGUAGAAUCAUCUUUGAGUCUCGACAAGAUGAAGGUACCAUAACUUUGUAUCCUUGUGCCAAAGUCUUGGUUCAUGGUAAAAAUCUAAUGGGGAGGUUUGGGGAAAAUUUUCUACAAAUGAAACAAACAGUCAGACCAGGCACUGGUGGUACUGAUGGUAGAGCUCGUCCUUUUAAAUACCCUAAAACAAGAAGCGGCAAAGGAAAGAAAGAGUUCAAAGAGCAAACACUGCAUGACAAUGAAGACACUCUCUAUUAUGACAAACGAGUUGGUAGCAAAUGGAAUCUCAUUUUCUUUACCAAACAUGUCAUAGCAUGGCUGGAUGAAAUGAAGAGAAAAUUUCCUAAACUUCAGGAAAUAACACAGGAUAGACUUACCAGAUUGAAGCAGCCCAAAUCAGGUACCAUAUCUUUACAUCCUAGUGUAAAGGUUGUGGUAACAGGCCAACUGGUGGAGAAGUUUGAGGCAGAAUUUCUAGAAAUGGUACCAUGGACCCUGACAACAAGUCUGAGUGCCAUGUUUCAAGCACGUAAAAGGACUGACAGUGAGAAUGAACUUCCUAAUGAGCCAUAGGGUGAAGGCACUCUCCAUACCCCACCCAAUUCAAUCAAACCCCACCCCACCUGAGGGCCUGUGUCCACAUCCCAGUGUUUUCUCAGCACCGGCACAUUUUUAAUCAAUAAUACCCAAUUAAGAGUGCAAAAACAUGCUGCGCCUGGUGUCUUUUUUUUAGUGCCUUAUCUGUGUGGCCGUUUUGAGCACUUCUAUUUGAAAAUCUCUAAACUUUUCAGAAAAACGCUGGCGACAUCACAGCGGCUGCUUUAGCUUAGGCCACGGUCACAACAAACACAGAAAAGCAGAACCAUAGUAAGCUUGCUAAGUGUGUAAUCAACCUUCUGUUAACUUAGCCUUGCAUUAGCUACCUUGAUAACAUUAAUGUCAAGAUAAUAUUAAGUCCUAAUCCAAUCACACACUCCCCGAACAACGGAUGACAAAUAGAUCGUCUGAUGAACAGAACAGAAAAUUCUGAUGACAAAAGAGAAAAAAACAAAACAAACUCAGAACAGAGUACUUAUAAAUAGAUUUUUAGGGCUUUCUUCUACCAGCAUAUUUCAUUAAUAGGUAACUGGGUUGUAAUAUCAAUAAUAUUUUUUUUUUGUCAUGCAGUGUUUAACCUAGUUUUUCUUUUCUAGCAGUAGUGCUUAGUUGAAUGAGGUUUUAUUUUGCUCCACUGGAAAACGUAAGUGCGUCCGCUGACACGAAAAGGACUUCAGAUGCACAUUUUUACUCAGUCUUAAAUGUUGAAUUAUGUUUGCUAAAAUGCUUCCGAUAUCCCAUAUGCUGUUACAAUCGCUCCUGCACACGGGGGCAGAUACAGCAUUUGACAUCAGGUGUUUCGAUUAAGAUUGUCACUCUAACAUGGCUUGUAAUUAAAAAAAAUUGAUUGAUUAAAGGUUAAAAAGCAGAACACAAGUUAUGUACAUAAAAAAUGUAUCUAAAUAGUUCAAGACGC